Molecule: long non-coding RNA, 499 nt
Organism: Brienomyrus brachyistius
Lineage: Eukaryota; Metazoa; Chordata; Actinopteri; Osteoglossiformes; Mormyridae
Exons: 2
Source: RefSeq, a predicted model, not a curated record
GCUGUCCUGAUCCUCCAAUGGAAGAUUAUGAUGAAGCAGAUGUAGCAGUGGCUGAGGCAGGCAAUGGCCAACAAGGACUUGCACAUAGAGCUGCAUUCACAAUACAGCACUUCAGCUAGGUGGUGGCAGCAUCUUUUCUCAGGGAUGCUGGAGCAGAUGUGGAGGGCACACACUCACUGUGCUCUGGCUCUGCCAGCCUGUUCAGAUCCCUCUGUUCUGUGGGGGGAAAAAACCCACAGAAGCACAAAUAAAGAAGCACACAUGAUCCUUAAGAAGAAUAAAGAUUGACAGAGUGGAAUAUGUGCCAAAGGCAGUAACCAAUUUCUUUCUUACGUACCAUUUGUUCUCAGUUCUUCAUCUGAACUGUUGAAGUGAUCAUCAUCUGGUAUACCUUCCAGAGGUUGCUGGUUCUGUAUUAUUCCAGACAACAAGUCGCUCACUUCAUCAGUUUUGUCUUUAUUUGGUGCUCCACCACCAGUAAUAAAUCGCUGUCUUCUUA